Triticum aestivum (bread wheat) is the source of this 1721-nucleotide long non-coding RNA. RefSeq lists it as uncharacterized. The record is from RefSeq and is a predicted model, not a curated record. Lineage: Eukaryota; Viridiplantae; Streptophyta; Magnoliopsida; Poales; Poaceae. The transcript has 3 exons.
GCACGAGUUCUUCACUGUCCCGAUCUAAAUCCUCAUCCAAUCGACUCAUCUGUUGCCCCUAGUACAUGCAUGACCCCAUAUAAAUACUCCCUGUGUCCUCUUGUUCGAGUUUUGCCAAAAUCACCAUCGCCCUUGCCCUAUCAAGUCGUCCCGAUCUCGCCGAAGUUCGGCCGCCAUAGAAGCUUUCCGCCGGUCAAACUCGUCACCUGCAGAAGGGGAGCAGCGUAGCGACCGCAUCAACCUCGACCAGAGCCAGUUUCCAAUGCCACCGCUCCAGCCGGUCACUGUCGCCACCGGAGCAAGCUCCAAUUGUGUCGGAGGUCACCCACUUCAUCUCCAUCGCGCUCUCCACUCGUAGGUCAUAUCUUUGUAGCCGGAGGCCCUCUGUAGCCGUCGCCCGCAUCACCACCGAGCCGCCGGCGCCGUCCUUCUCCAACUCCGACGACGCCCCGCUCUGUUCUCAGAUUGUCCGGAGUGCGAAGCAGGUCGGAAUUAAUCGUUAGAGUACUUCAACGGCGUUCAAGGCAAGUUUGCACUUUUGAUUUUUCUCAUCCUAUAUUCUGCUAUGCGUGUGUGGUUUUAUGCUAUGAUAUAUGAUUGGCCUGAUAUGUGCAUGUUGUUAUGUUUUGGUAUUGAUUGUAUUAUGUGUUGGUGUGAUCAACUUGCUAUGUUAGAAGUGGGCAUGUGUGAAGUGAUCCGUGGAAGUGGUGAGUGUUAUAGCCGUAGGCUCGGGAUUAUUAACCAGGUGAAUGCGUCACUGGCAGAGCGCUCUAUUGUCCCUAGAGAAUGCGCCAUUGACAGAGCGCACUUGAGGCGAGGUAUAGUUUUCGGAACAUAAAUCAGGUGGAUGCGUCCUUGGCAGAGCGCUCUAUUGUUCCUAGAGAAUGCGCCAUUGACAGAGCGCACUUGCGAUACUUCUAAAGUUCUUGUCAUGUUUACUUAGAAUCUUUGGGUUAUCUUGGGCGAGUAAAUUAGAGACGGUUGUGAGUUCAGGUAGUGGAGGUAGGUGAAGACAUUCUUCUAUAAACUAACUUGUGUGUGUUUUGUUUGUCAUACAUUGCUUUGUGGAUGUAGGUUUGCUAUAUCAUAUUGUGUGAUUUGCCAAUACAUUCAAUGUAUUGACCCUUUGUGGCUGCAACUUAUCAUGUUGCGGGAUUUUCAGAUGAUCAAUGAGAUAUAAUAGGGUCGCGAGUCUUCACUCAACAUGUUCUCCAGUGGGCAUUGACGGGACUCAUCGUUUGCUUAUGCUACAUUUCCGCUGUUAUUAUUGAAUAUAGUUAGCCAUGUGCUACUCAGUGUAAUACUUUAUGAAUUCUGGAUCAUACGUUAUAGUAAAUGAUGCACUUGUUAUUUGAUAUUCAUAUGUACUGUGUGUGCUAGCGAGUCGAUCCAGGGACUAGCACUGUAAGCACAGAGACAUCGAAUCUUAUCAGGUUCGGGUCGUUACAUGGUCCAGAUUUGAGAGACAGAGAGAGAGAGACGAGCGAGGGGAGGAUGUAGAUGAGAAUGCAGGUGGGACGGCGUGAGCAAUGUAGUAUUUAUUGGCGGCCAAAAUCUAGACCGACGAGAACAGUACACAAGCCGAUAGCAGGAAUUUACGGGUAUUGUAGUUUGAAUUACACACAAUUCCCGUAGCAAAAGUCAUGUGUGAACUUAAUAGCUGAUGGUUUCCAAUACAUAACCGUGUCUGAUUAAUAAUUCGUGCCACUCACCUUCCAAAC